UACGGAGGAUGCGAGCGUUAUCCGGAUUUAUUGGGUUUAAAGGGUGCGUAGGCGGCCUUUUAAGUCAGCGGUGAAAGUUUGUGGCUCAACCAUAAAAUUGCCGUUGAAACUGGAAGACUUGAGUGUGUUUGAGGUAGGCGGAAUGCGUGGUGUAGCGGUGAAAUGCAUAGAUAUCACGCAGAACUCCGAUUGCGAAGGCAGCAUACCGGCGCGCAACUGACGCUCAUGCACGAAAGCGUGGGUAUCGAACAGG
This 253-nucleotide ribosomal RNA is filed under the name uncultured Parabacteroides sp. RNAcentral's name for it is "partial 16S ribosomal RNA". It matches the Rfam family "Bacterial small subunit ribosomal RNA", at positions 524 to 776 of the family's 1533-position model. The record is from RNAcentral. Lineage: Bacteria; Pseudomonadati; Bacteroidota; Bacteroidia; Bacteroidales; Tannerellaceae.